GACGAACCGUGCGAACGUUAUUCGGAAUCAUUGGGCUUAAAGGGCGCGUAGGCGGCGGUGUAAGUUGGAAGUGAAAUCCCAUCGGCUCAACCGUGGAAUUGCUCCCAGUACUGCACUGCUCGAGGGGGAUAGGGGUUUGCGGAACUACCGGUGGAGCGGUGAAAUGUGUUGAUAUCGGUGGGAACGCCAGUGGCGAAAGCGGCAAACUUGACCCUUCCUGACGCUGCAGCGCGAAAGCUAGGGGAGCAAACGGG
Molecule: ribosomal RNA, 254 nt
Filed under: uncultured bacterium
Lineage: Bacteria
Description: partial 16S ribosomal RNA
Rfam family: Bacterial small subunit ribosomal RNA
Source: RNAcentral